CGGCAACAGCUCAAAUUUGAAAUCUGGCCCUCUCAGGGUCCGAGUUGUAAUUUGGAGAGGAUGCUUCGGAUAGGCUUUGGUUUAAGUUUCUUGGAACAGAACGUCAUAGAGGGUGAGAGUCCCGUCUAGAACCUAUAGCCGCGUCCAUGUGAAACUCCUUCGAC
Molecule: ribosomal RNA, 164 nt
Filed under: Herpotrichiellaceae sp.
Lineage: Eukaryota; Fungi; Ascomycota; Eurotiomycetes; Chaetothyriales; Herpotrichiellaceae
Description: partial large subunit ribosomal RNA
Rfam family: Eukaryotic large subunit ribosomal RNA
Source: RNAcentral